CUUCAUAAGCUCCCUUUAAUCAUCAAAACAUCCAUAUUAAUGGCGAAGAUGAGCAGCAGCAAUAAGCAUCUUGUUUCAAAAGUCCUAGUCCUGGUGUUACUUAUUCUGGCUAUAGAAAUGGGGCCAAUGGUGGGAGAAGGAAAAAGGACUUGCGUUCAGCCGAGCAAACACUUCCAGGGCCUAUGCAUAAAUGACUCCAAUUGUGCCGAUGUUUGCAUGACUGAGAAAUUUACAGGAGGCCAAUGCCAUGGUGCCUUUGGACAAUGCCUUUGCACCAUUCUCUGUGACUGAAGAAACCUAGUCUUCUAAACUAUGUAGUCUAUUAUUCUACAGAAUAAAAAUGGAUGCAGUCUUUAGAUGAGACUCAGAAUAUAUGUAUCAUAAGGAGAUUACUUACUUUGUCAAUUAAUGAAUAAAACUGUGUUAUUCAUGUUUGUAAUACUAAAUUAAAAUAAAUAAAUAUAAUAAUGUUUCUACUU
Long non-coding RNA from Macadamia integrifolia, 479 nucleotides. RefSeq lists it as uncharacterized. The transcript has 2 exons. Lineage: Eukaryota; Viridiplantae; Streptophyta; Magnoliopsida; Proteales; Proteaceae. The record is from RefSeq and is a predicted model, not a curated record.